AAUCUUUCGGGAGGAAGCUUAAUAUCCUAGUGGCGGACGGGUGAGUAACGCGUGAGCAACCUACCCAUAAGUGGGGGAUAACACCGGGAAACUGGUGCUAAUACCGCAUAAGCUAUCCUCAUCGCAUGAUGGGGAUAGUAAAGAUGGCCUCUGUUACAAGCUAUCGCUUAUGGAUGGGCUCGCGUCUGAUUAGCUAGUUGGUGGGGUAACGGCCUACCAAGGCGACGAUCAGUAGCCGGCCUGAGAGGGUGUACGGCCACACUGGGACUGAGACACGGCCCAGACUCCUACGGGAGGCAGCAGUGGGGAAUAUUGCGCAAUGGGGGAAACCCUGACGCAGCGACGCCGCGUGAGCGAAGAAGGCCUUUGGGUCGUAAAGCUCUGUUGUAAGGGACGAAGGGGGUGCUGCGAAGAGUGGCACCAGGUGACGGUACCUUACGAGGAAGCCCCGGCUAACUACGUGCCAGCAGCCGCGGUAAGACGUAGGGGGCGAGCGUUGUCCGGAAUUACUGGGCGUAAAGAGCACGUAGGCGGGUGUAUAAGUCAGGUGUGAAAGACCGGAGCUCAACUUCGGGGUUGCAUCUGAUACUGUACAUCUUG
Molecule: ribosomal RNA, 600 nt
Filed under: uncultured bacterium
Lineage: Bacteria
Description: bacterial SSU rRNA
Rfam family: Bacterial small subunit ribosomal RNA
Source: RNAcentral